RNAcentral lists this ribosomal RNA (253 nucleotides) under uncultured bacterium. Its description in RNAcentral is "partial 16S ribosomal RNA". It matches the Rfam family "Bacterial small subunit ribosomal RNA", at positions 524 to 776 of the family's 1533-position model. The record is from RNAcentral.
UACGGAAGGGGCUAGCGUUGUUCGGAAGUACUGGGCGUAAAGAGCGCGUAGGCGGCUUACCAAGUUGGGGGUGAAAUCCCGGAGCUCAACUCCGGAACUGCCUUCAAAACUGGUAGGCUCGAGUCCGGAAGAGGGGCGUGGAAUUCCUAGUGUAGAGGUGAAAUUCGUAGAUAUUGGGAAGAACACCGGUGGCGAAGGCGGCGCCCUGGUCCGUUACUGACGCUGAGGCGAGAAAGCGUGGGGAGCAAACAGG